CAGAGGAGCUAGUCUACAGGAUGGCAGGUAACUUAUGACCUGUGUCAUCUUCUUAAUAAGAUGAGCUGGGCCAAUCCAAUUACUUUCUCAGAAAGUCUGCAUGAGAAAACUAAAAUUUUGGAAGAGUUGGCUGCGGGGAUGAAUCACAAGUUGAUGUAGAGGGGCCCAGGGAGGUUGUGCUGGCUCACGUGUAGGCUGAGGAGGGAGUAGAGACUGGGGAGCUAGGGAGGGAAGAGAUCUGGGUGGGCAGACUCAAAGAGAGGUGGAAAGAUGUCACUAGAUGGGAGUGAUCAGGGGGGUCUCCAACCUUUACCACCAUAUCUGUGAGAUCCCUGCUGCUGGAAUCCUGGACUCCUGAGCCUGUUGUACUUCUGGUGGACCUUCCUUUACUUCAGCUAAUGUGGGAAUUAACAUUUGUAUCCUUUCCAUGGAAUACUCGUUAAGAAUACAUCAAACGCAUGCGGUACAAAUGAAUACUUCGAGGACAGCCUGAUGAUUACAUGACACCUGGAGAUUUCCAUGGGGACCUGUGUGGCUUGCCGUUCCAGUUCUGUCCUCUCCGGGGCUUGGGAAGGUUCCACCCAGCUGGACCCCGCCCACGGGCCCACCUGGUGCCAUGCAUGGAGAGGUGAACACGGCUCCCAAGGCCAAGCAUGACAGAACUGGGCAGAAAGAGACUCGGACCAUUUUUCAGGAGCGAUGACCAUCUGCGGACAAGGCCAACCAGCCUUCCUGUCCUAAGAGUCCCAUUUGUCCAAUAAAACUACUUAAAUAAAAGCACCACCCCUCUCCAUGGCCCCCCGCCAGAAACUACAGGAAGGG
RNAcentral lists this long non-coding RNA (822 nucleotides) under Homo sapiens (human). RNAcentral describes it as "HSALNT0169659". Lineage: Eukaryota; Metazoa; Chordata; Mammalia; Primates; Hominidae. The record is from RNAcentral.